CCUACGGGAGGCAGCAGUGGGGAAUCUUGCGCAAUGGGCGAAAGCCUGACGCAGCCAUGCCGCGUGAAUGAUGAAGGUCUUAGGAUUGUAAAAUUCUUUCACCGGGGACGAUAAUGACGGUACCCGGAGAAGAAGCCCCGGCUAACUUCGUGCCAGCAGCCGCGGUAAUACGAAGGGGGCCAGCGUUGCUCGGAAUUACUGGGCGUAAAGGGAGCGUAGGCGGAUAGUUUAGUCAGAGGUGAAAGCCCAGGGCUCAACCUUGGAAUUGCCUUUGAUACUGGCUAUCUUGAGUAUGGGAGAGGUAUGCGGAACUCCGAGUGUAGAGGUGAAAUUCGUAGAUAUUCGGAAGAACACCAGUGGCGAAGGCGGCAUACUGGCCCAUUACUGACGCUGAGGCUCGAAAGCGUGGGGAGCAAACAGGAUUAGAUACCCUGGUAGUCCACGCUGUAAACGAUGAGUGCUAGUUGUCGGCAUGCAUGCAUGUCGGUGACGCAGCUACGCAUAAGACACUCCGCCGUCGGGAGGUACGGUCGCGAAGAAUUAAACGUACGAAGAAGUAGUAGACGUCGAGACGUACGCGACGACGACGACGAGGGAGGAGGAGG
Molecule: ribosomal RNA, 605 nt
Filed under: uncultured bacterium
Lineage: Bacteria
Description: bacterial SSU rRNA
Rfam family: Bacterial small subunit ribosomal RNA (bases 1-516)
Source: RNAcentral